This 429-nucleotide ribosomal RNA is filed under the name Pseudomonadota bacterium. RNAcentral describes it as "Proteobacteria bacterium partial 16S ribosomal RNA". It matches the Rfam family "Bacterial small subunit ribosomal RNA", at positions 355 to 776 of the family's 1533-position model. The record is from RNAcentral. Lineage: Bacteria; Pseudomonadati; Pseudomonadota.
UGGGGAAUAUUGGACAAUGGGCGAAAGCCUGAUCCAGCCAUGCCGCGUGUGUGAAGAAGGUCUUCGGAUUGUAAAGCACUUUAAGUUGGGAGGAAGGGCAGUAAGCGAAUACCUUGCUGUUUUGACGUUACCGACAGAAUAAGCACCGGCUAACUCUGUGCCAGCAGCCGCGGUAAUACAGAGGGUGCAAGCGUUAAUCGGAAUUACUGGGCGUAAAGCGCGCGUAGGUGGUUCGUUAAGUUGAAUGUGAAAGCCCCGGGCUCAACCUGGGAACUGCAUCAAAUACUGGCGAGCUAGAGUAGGGCAGAGGGUGGUGGAAUUUCCUGUGUAGCGGUGAAAUGCGUAGAUAUAGGAAGGAACACCAGUGGCGAAGGCGACCACCUGGGCUCAUACUGACACUGAGGUGCGAAAGCGUGGGGAGCAAACAGG